RNAcentral lists this ribosomal RNA (278 nucleotides) under uncultured bacterium. RNAcentral's name for it is "partial 16S ribosomal RNA". It matches the Rfam family "Bacterial small subunit ribosomal RNA", at positions 331 to 608 of the family's 1533-position model. The record is from RNAcentral.
CUUGGCCUACGGGGGGCAGCAGUGAGGAAUAUUGGUCAAUGGCCGGAAGGCUGAACCAGCCGAGCCGCGUGAAGGACGAAGGUGCCAAGCAUUGUAAACUUCUUUUGUCAAGGGACAAAAUCAGGCUCGAGAGCCUGACCGAGGGUACUUGAAGAAAAAGCAUCGGCUAACUCCGUGCCAGCAGCCGCGGUAAUACGGAGGAUGCGAGCGUUAUCCGGAUUUACUGGGUGUAAAGGGAGCGUAGACGGCGAAGCAAGUCUGAAGUGAAAACCCAGGGC